AGUGAACGCUGGCGGUACGCCUAACACAUGCAAGUCGAACGGCAGCACAGUAAGAGCUUGCUCUUACGGGUGGCGAGUGGCGGACAGGUGAGGAAUACAUCGGAAUCUACUUUUUCGUGGGGGAUAACGUAGGGAAACUUACGCUAAUACCGCAUACGACCUACGGGUGAAAGCAGGGGAUCUUCGGACCUUGCGCGAUUGAAUGAGCCGAUGUCGGAUUAGCUAGUUGGCGGGGUAAAGGCCCACCAAGGCGACGAUCCGUAGCUGGUCUGAGAGGAUGAUCAGCCACACUGGAACUGAGACACGGUCCAGACUCCUACGGGAGGCAGCAGUGGGGAAUAUUGGACAAUGGGCGCAAGCCUGAUCCAGCCAUACCGCGUGGGUGAAGAAGGCCUUCGGGUUGUAAAGCCCUUUUGUUGGGAAAGAAAAGCAGCAGGUUAAUACCCCGCUGUUCUGACGGUACCCAAAGAAUAAGCACCGGCUAACUUCGUG
This 492-nucleotide ribosomal RNA is filed under the name uncultured bacterium. RNAcentral describes it as "partial 16S ribosomal RNA". It matches the Rfam family "Bacterial small subunit ribosomal RNA", at positions 29 to 507 of the family's 1533-position model. The record is from RNAcentral.